AAGCGGUGGAGCUAUGUGGUUUAAUUCGAAGCAACGCGAAAACCUUACCACCUUUGACAUGUACGGAAGCCUUAGAGAUAGAGGCGUGCUCGAAAGAGAGCCGUAACACAGGUGCUGCAUGGCUGUCGUCAGCUCGUGUCGUGAGAUGUUGGGUUAAGUCCCGCAACGAGCGCAACCCUUGUCAUUAGUUGCUACAUUCAGUUGGGCACUCUAAUGAGACUGCCGGUGACAAGCCGGAGGAAGUGGGGAUGACGUCAAGUCCUCAUGGCCCUUAUAGGUGGGGCUACACACGUCAUACAAUGGCUGGUACAAAGGGUUGCCAACCCGCGAGGGGGAGCUAAUCCCAUAAAGCCAGUCGUAGUCCGGAUCGUAGUCUGCAACUCGACUACGUGAAGUCGGAAUCGCUAGUAAUCGUGGAUCAGAAUGUCACGGUGAAUACGUUCCCGGGUCUU
RNAcentral lists this ribosomal RNA (452 nucleotides) under uncultured Rhodoferax sp. RNAcentral describes it as "bacterial SSU rRNA". It matches the Rfam family "Bacterial small subunit ribosomal RNA", at positions 927 to 1382 of the family's 1533-position model. The record is from RNAcentral. Lineage: Bacteria; Pseudomonadati; Pseudomonadota; Betaproteobacteria; Burkholderiales; Comamonadaceae.